UACAGAGGGGGCAAGCGUUGUUCGGAAUUACUGGGCGUAAAGGGCGCGUAGGCGGCCUGUUAAGUCGAACGUGAAAUCCCCGGUCUCAACCCGGGAACUGCGUCCGAUACUGGCAGGCUUGAAUUCGGGAGAGGGAUGCGGAAUUCCAGGUGUAGCGGUGAAAUGCGUAGAUAUCUGGAGGAACACCGGUGGCGAAGGCGGCAUCCUGGACCGAGAUUGACGCUGAUGCGCGAAAGCCAGGGGAGCAAACGGG
RNAcentral lists this ribosomal RNA (253 nucleotides) under uncultured bacterium. Its description in RNAcentral is "partial 16S ribosomal RNA". It matches the Rfam family "Bacterial small subunit ribosomal RNA", at positions 524 to 776 of the family's 1533-position model. The record is from RNAcentral.